AGAGCGAACGCUGGCGGCAGGCCUAACACAUGCAAGUCGAGCGCGUGUAGCAAUACACGAGCGGCAGACGGGAGAGUAACACGUGGGAACGCGCCCUUCGGUUCGGAAUAACUCAGGGAAACUUGAGCUAAUACCGGAUACGCCCUUACGGGGAAAGAUUUAUUGCCGAAGGAACGGCCCGCGUCCGAUUAGCUAGUUGGUGAGGUAACGGCUCACCAAGGCGACGAUCGGUAGCUGGUCUGAGAGGAUGACCAGCCUCACUGGGACUGAGACACGGCCCAGACUCCUACGGGAGGCAGCAGUGGGGAAUAUUGGACAAUGGGCGCAAGCCUGAUCCAGCCAUGCCGCGUGGAUGAUGAAGGCCUUAGGGUUGUAAAGUCCUUUUAACGGGGAAGUAUAAUGACGGUACCGUAGAAUAAGCCCCGGCUAACUUCGCGCCAGCAGCCGC
This 448-nucleotide ribosomal RNA is filed under the name uncultured bacterium. RNAcentral describes it as "SSU rRNA". It matches the Rfam family "Bacterial small subunit ribosomal RNA", at positions 26 to 518 of the family's 1533-position model. The record is from RNAcentral.